This is a long non-coding RNA of Anas platyrhynchos (mallard), 4155 nucleotides long. RefSeq lists it as uncharacterized. The record is from RefSeq and is a predicted model, not a curated record. NCBI's taxonomy places the organism in Eukaryota, Metazoa, Chordata, Aves, Anseriformes, Anatidae.
CGUGUAACAUAUGCAAAUGUUCAGGAUGCGGUAUGAGUUUUAUACGCUGGAUGUAUAUGAGGUCAUAUACAAAGCUCGGCUGGAGGCCUCGCUGCAUUUGGGAGGCAUGAGAAUUUGAGGGAAAACUUCAGUUCUCAUAUGAUCAAACAUACCUCGUCAUCUGCCUUUAAAAUGCAAAUCAGGCCCUGGUUUGGCUCUUUGGGUUUUUAGGAGACCAGGAGUUAGCAUCCACUUCUGGGUCAGCACCACAGCUCGGGGCUGAGGCUUGUGUGACUGCAGUCCCCCCGGAUCAGUAGGUGGCCAAAGACCCAUUUUCAGCUACAUGAGGUCAUGCCCAAGCUGCUAACAGCAGGGAUUGCGGAUGCUCCAGGAGCCAAAUGGGACAUCAGGGAUGCAGGCACCACUACAUCCAUUUCCCAGCACCCAGGGACCCUUCCUGGACAAGUAGCAACUUCUAGCAGGGGAAAUCCAGUGGUGUAAUGGUUUUUGGGCAGGCCUUCUGUGUGAGAGUGAACCCCAGUCAGUAGAUAAGGCUACAAUGUGGUCUGAAAUCCUCCCUGCAUCCUUUAUUUAUUUAUUUAUUUUCUAUCCAUUGCAGGCCUCAAGGAUUUUGUGUGAAGAUGUGACAACCAGCAGCCAAACAAACUCAUAACACCCUGCAGGCUGAGGCUCAGCAACAAAUGCUGAUGCACACACACAAAAAAAGCAGACCAGAGCCCUCAACAAGCUAUAGCACUGCCGUGGAGGAAGGAGCAUAACCUCACUGCUUUGCUCUUUGCCCUGGAGGAAGGAGCAUAACCUUACUUCUUUGCUCUUUGCCCUUUUAGCUAUUCACAGAGCUUAAUGCUGUGUUAUUCCCAACAAUGAGCAGAAUAAUCAAAGUCCCACCUGGCUUAGUCAGUCUAACAUCUUCCCUUUAGUCACAGACUCCCGUGAUUUUCUGACCAUCAUCUUGGAUAUAUGCUAUUAUAUCAUCCCAGCAACAGAGAAGAUGUUUACAUUUGGUAACCGAAACUGCAGUUCAGGCUCACCAGCCUGCUCUAAUCUGAUCACAUAAAUAAAUCCCUGGCCACAGUGGAAAGCAGACGCUGCAAGCACAGCUGGUGCUGCAACCUCUGCAUCUCCCUGCUCAUGCCAUGAUGCGCAGCCUACAAGCUAAUAGCAUGUCUGUCCCGGGAGGGCACUCUUCUCCCUUACGGCCCUCCUGUGAACUCCCAUAGGCCCCGAGCUGUGGCUGUGUCCCUGGGAGAAAUGUUUUCCCUUCCUGACUUAGAAAUCAGCCGCAGGUUGCUGUUUGCAGUGGCUGGGGACCCCAACCACUACAGGGCCUCAGCGGCAGUGCUUGCUGCUGCCACCCCUCUCCUGGCCUGGGAGCAAGGAUUGCAACUGAGCCAGGGGUGGGAGGCAGAAGAAGAGUUAAAAAGAGAAGCUCUCUUGUUAUUAACACAUUUCUGUCCUCUAAUCCACUCACAUCCUGCUCUUACAAAUGCAUUUUUGUUAAGCAUUCAGCUACAGGGGGAGAAUACAAGGAGAUGGAUUGAUGUUUGUGUAGGUAUGGAUGCUUUUGUGUGCAAAUUGCAUUUUGAUAGAUAGACACGCACACACGCCCAGAACACUGGCUGUAUUAAAAAUCAACAGAAAACAUCUCACAGACUUAAGUGAAGCUAGCAUUUCCCCUCUCACAUUCAAAAUGAAUCUCAGUAACCUGGUUUCAGCUGUCAGAGCUUCUCCUGAUAAAUUCAGCAGCACUGGGAGGGAGAGACCAACGCCCUGUGCAAGUGGCAUCCUGGCAAGGAGCCUUUUUUCCUUGUCUGCUGCAUGGAUCCUCUUUUGGUCUGUGCAGGAAAAUCCAAAAUUAAAGUGUGUCCCCCCCUCUUCUUCAGUUUACAUGUCAGGGAAUACUGCCCUGAUUAACAGAAGCCCCUUCAGUGAUAAAAUUUCCCUGCGUGUGAGUCACAGGAAAUUAUAAUCACUGCUUUCUGAGAUUGCAGAACACAAUGAGAUUUCUGAGCUACAAACAGACUUCAAUUAUUCUUGAAAGACAGACAGACCUUCAAACUGACACGAUUUGGGAAAAUAAAUAUUCUUUUGUCUGCACUGCUGGUGGCAAUUUCCCAUUAGGCAGGAAAAGCCUUCUUUGAUGAAUGAAUAUUGUCUGCACAUUAGAAGAGGAGCUACUGUGUGUAUCCUAAUAGCUCUCGUACACUCGGGCUCAGCCUCACGUGAGGCCCUUGAACCCUUAGGGUACAAUGUGGUAGCAAUCAUUAGCAUGCUGCAUUCUGUAUUGCAGCAGAUGAGAAAAGGAUGGUGCAUAUUAAAGUAAAUUUGACCAACUUCCAACUCACCUGCAAGUCAUGUGGCAAUCUACCACAUAAUAUUUAGCAAUCUGCCUUCUUGGUCUGCAGUUAGUCCUUUCCAGCCUAGAGACUUCAUGAGGAACACUCCCAUUGGAGAUGUUUUUUUUUUUUUUUCCAUAUAUGAUUAUUUUCUAAUUUUAACAUUUAAUCACUUUUCCUUUUUGUACUUAUUUUCUAUAGUGGUAAUUUAACCAAAAUUAGAGCACCACGUAGAACUAAAUAGAAGUACUGUUUGCAGAAGCCAAAGGACAUCGCGUUAGUGCCUUUGACAAGCUGUGGAUCUUUUGGAAGAUCCACCAAGUCUCACAAUAUUUCCUUCCCUUGGAAUACAUUAACAGGCAUUAAUCAUAUUAAUCAUAAUUAAUUGUUAACGUGGCAGCGUUGCAUUUUUGCCGGUCUUUUUUUUCCUGGGACUGGUAUUGGAUUAAUUGGCCUGGAGAUAUCUGGGUCACCCCAUUGAGUCCCUUCCGCUCUUCUGGGACUUCGCUGUCACACCAAAGAUUAGUUAGGAGUGAGCUGAUGUUUUUAUUGGAGAGAUUAAAAACCCCAAACAACAAAACUCCCGACAUUAAGAAAAAGAAGCAGAAGAGCUACCGAUGAGAAGUGGUCUGCAAGUGGUGGCACCAGUCUGCACACAAGCCAGCUGCAGGCAGAGAUACGGCAGAGACCGAGGUGGUACUCGCAGACCGAAUGUGAUACAGGAACAGCAAACCCCAGAGUCAGAAAGAAAGGCCAUAAAAUCCCGACGACUCCCUGUCCGAGUCUUACUUCCAAAGAGAACCACAGGCAAAACCCCAAAUGUUUUAGCCUCAUCCCGACUGCUCAGGACCUCGGCAGUGUGACCACGCUUUGCCACCAAGCACUUGUCUGAGUACGUUUUGGCUCCACCAGCCAGCUGAGCUACUGCCGAGUGCUCAGCUCAGUGGACAAUGUUUUAAGGCAGGGGGGUAGCUGUGGGAAAAAAAAGAGGACCACAACUCACCUUGUAAGUGUCAAGACUGGUUUUAAAAAAAGCCCCACAAGAAUUAUGGCCUCUUCGGUGUCCCACAGCGACAGGUACAGAAACAUUGGACACGGCAUGUACAUAACAUUACUUACAGACUCUACAUGGAAAAUGUUAACCGAUUUGUCACGGAAAUCUGGGAUCGAGCAACACGGCUGUACAAAUUCACACCUUGAGAAAGGCGAAGUGUGGACCGCUCCUCUGCAAGAGGAUCCUCAGUCGAUGCUUUGUAUCGGAAGCAUUAAAACAACGACGACAACUUCUUUUCUGAAUCUCAAUUCAUUAUUGUGUUAGAUUUCAGAAACUGGAAAAGGUUCCCUUUAGAAAAUGCGUGACUAUUCAGACUAUGAGUUCACAACCUAAUUAUUAAAUAAUUAAAAAAAAAAAGAAAAAAGGAUUCAACUGUCAUGAAGUCUUACAUGGCUGCAAUAUUUUAAAGCAAUACCAACAAUACAAGGCAUAGAAAUUUUCUCCUGCAACACUUGUAAAGGGAUUCACAUGAAAAGCAAAAGGAUUAUUAAAGAAUAAACUGCUCUGCAGAACAGGGAGGUGAGAGGCUAGCCAUGAAUUCAACCAGAUUCCUUGAAGUGGAACUCCAGCUGCUUAAAAACAUAUCACUUCAUAAUUCAGAAAAUGAUGACCCGUUACGUCUGCAUACUCCCAUUAAAUACGAUACCCCAAAUGGCAUAACACCCCUCCUUGAAAAGUUUUUACCUCAUCUCCACCGUUACCUCCACAGUUUAAACAAAAGAACAACUAUCCAAAUGUAAAAUGCUCUUUUUUUUUUUUUAAUUA